This 446-nucleotide ribosomal RNA is filed under the name uncultured bacterium. RNAcentral describes it as "bacterial SSU rRNA". It matches the Rfam family "Bacterial small subunit ribosomal RNA", at positions 329 to 792 of the family's 1533-position model. The record is from RNAcentral.
GUCCAGACUCCUACGGGAGGCAGCAGUAGGGGAUAUUGCACAAUGGGGGGAACCCUGAUGCAGCGACGCCGCGUGGGUGAAGAAGCGCCUCGGCGCGUAAAGCCCUGUCAGCAGGGAAGAAAAUGACGGUACCUGAAGAAGAAGCCCCGGCCAACUACGUGCCAGCAGCCGCGGUAAUACGUAGGGGGCAAGCGUUAUCCGGAUUUACUGGGUGUAAAGGGGGCGCAGACGGCGAUGCAAGCCAGGAGUGAAAGCCCGGGGCCCAACCCCGGGACUGCUCUUGGAACUGCGUGGCUGGAGUGCAGGAGGGGCAGGCGGAAUUCCUGGUGUAGCGGUGAAAUGCGUAGAUAUCAGGAGGAACACCGGUGGCGAAGGCGGCCUGCUGGACUGCAACUGACGUUGAGGCCCGAAAGCGUGGGGAGCAAGCAGGAUUAGAUACCCGAGUA